This 1331-nucleotide non-coding RNA is filed under the name Bos taurus (domestic cattle). RNAcentral describes it as "Bacterial large subunit ribosomal RNA". It matches the Rfam family "Bacterial large subunit ribosomal RNA", at positions 538 to 2594 of the family's 2925-position model. The record is from Rfam by way of RNAcentral. Lineage: Eukaryota; Metazoa; Chordata; Mammalia; Artiodactyla; Bovidae. RNAcentral also lists the same sequence under 1 other name.
AUGAAAGAAAAAAAUUAAAGUACAAAAAAGCAAAGAUUAUCCCUUGUACCUUUUGCAUAAUGAAUUAACUAACAUAAGACUUAACAAAACAAAUUUUGGCUAAGUGACCUGAAACCGAUGAGCUACUUACAAACAGUUUAUCAAGAACCAACUCAUCUAUGUGGCAAAAUAGUGAGAAGAUUUGUAAGUAGAGGUGACACGCCUAACGAACCUGGCGAUAGCUGGUGUCCAGAAAAUGAAUCUUAGAUCAGCUUUAAAGAUACCAAAAAAUCCAAAUAGAUCCCACUGUAUUUUUAAAAGUUAGUCUAAAAAAGUACAGCCUUUUAGAAAUGGAUACAACCUUAACUAGAGAGUAAGAUCCAACAACACCAUAGAAAGCCUAAAAGCAGCCACCAAUUAAGAAAGCGUUAAAGCUUAACAAUAAAAAUGGCACUAAUCCCAACAUUAAAUAGCCAACUCCUAGCCCUAAUACUGGACUAAUCUAUUGGGAAAUAGAAGUAAUAAUGUUAAUAUGAGUAACAAGAAACACCUUAUCCUUGCAUAAGUUUAAGUCAGUAUCUGAUAAUACUCUAUUACAACAGUGAAUAAAGAUAACCCAAUAAUAAGCAAUUUAUUAAUAUACUGUUAAUCCAACACAGGAAUGCACUUAAGGAAAGGUUAAAAGAAGUAAAAGGAACUCGAAAACAUAAACCCCGCAUGUUUACCAAAAACAUCACCACCAGCAUCCCCAGUAUUGGAGGAACUGCUUGCCCAGUGACAAUCAUUAAACGGCCGCAGUAUCCUGACCGUGCAAAGGUAGCAUGAUCAUUUGUUCUCUAAAUAAGGGCUUGUAUGAAUGGCCAUACGAGGGUUUUACUGUCUCUUAUUUCCAAUCAGUGAAAUUGACCUCCCCGUGAAUAGGCGGGAAUAGACUAAUAAGACGAGAAGACCCUAUGGAGCUUUAACUAACUAGUCCAGAAAAAAUAAACUCAACCACCAGGGGGUAAUAACACUCUUUAUGGACUAACAGUUUUGGCUGGGGUGACCUCAGAGAACAAAAAAUCCUCCAAGCGAUUUUAAAGACUAGACCCACAAGUCAAAUCACACUAUCACUUAUUGAUCCAAAAAUUUGAUCAAUGGAACAAGUUAUCCUAGGGAUAACAAUGCAAUCCUAUUCAAGAGUCCAUGACCUUGAUGUUGGAUCAGGACAUCCAGGUUCAAUCCCACUAACACUCCUAUUUUUCUUCCUAGUUCCUUUGUCUUACCGAGUUUUGUGUGGUUUUUUAUAUUUCUUUCCACUAGUCAGGUACUCCUGUCCACUCUCAGGUGGUGUUCUGCAUGCACUUCUGUGU